AUUGAACGCUGGCGGCAUGCCUAACACAUGCAAGUCGAACGGCAGCACAGCAGUAGCAAUACUGUGGGUGGCGAGUGGCGGACGGGUGAGGAAUACGUCGGAAUCUGCCCAGUCGUGGGGGAUAACUAGCCGAAAGGUUAGCUAAUACCGCAUACGACCGAGAGGUGAAAGCGGGGGACCGCAAGGCCUCGCGCGAUUGGAUGAGCCGACGUCGGAUUAGCUAGUUGGCGGGGUAAAGGCCCACCAAGGCGACGAUCCGUAGCUGGUCUGAGAGGAUGAUCAGCCACACUGGAACUGAGACACGGUCCAGACUCCUACGGGAGGCAGCAGUGGGGAAUAUUGGACAAUGGGCGCAAGCCUGAUCCAGCAAUGCCGCGUGUGUG
This 383-nucleotide ribosomal RNA is filed under the name uncultured bacterium. RNAcentral's name for it is "bacterial SSU rRNA". It matches the Rfam family "Bacterial small subunit ribosomal RNA", at positions 29 to 407 of the family's 1533-position model. The record is from RNAcentral.